UCUUUUUUUGAGAGAGAGUAUCUGUCUAUUAUGUAGACCUAAAUGUCCUAGAACUCACUAGACCAGGCUGGUCUUGAACUCACAGAGAUCCACCUGCCUCUGCCUCCUGAGAACUGGAAUCACAGGAGUAUAUCAUCAGGCACAUCCUCGAAGCUCUUCUCAAUGCAUGAUAAAAUAAAUCCUCUUCCUUCCGCUGUGGAUCCAGAUAUGCCUGGAAUUCUGGCAUUGAUUCUGGCUGAUGAUCUGUGCUUGGUUGUCACUUACACCCACUGGUAUUGGAGUACAUAAGCUCCCUGGAUCCAUCCAGAGAGGCUGAAGAAACAAGACACUUUGGAGUUCAGAAGCUGAGGAUUCGUUUAGUGCUUGCUCCGCCCAUCAGCUAUACCACUAAGACUGUGUUGCUAUGAUGGGAGAAAUUUACAUUAGUAAGUGUUGUAUAAUGAAGAAGAGAACUCUUUGCAUGGGGUAAUUUGGGAGCUCCUGGUCUACUGUGCCACUUUGGGUUUGGCUACCAUCAUCUCUCAACUUGGUUGUGGCAGUAGCAUAAAGACAAAUGUUCCUUUUGUCUCUCCCUGGUACUGUAGCCUCUGGUCCUUAUAAAUG
Molecule: long non-coding RNA, 603 nt
Organism: Mus musculus (house mouse)
Lineage: Eukaryota; Metazoa; Chordata; Mammalia; Rodentia; Muridae
Product: predicted gene, 54027
Exons: 3
Source: RefSeq, a predicted model, not a curated record